Molecule: ribosomal RNA, 459 nt
Filed under: uncultured bacterium
Lineage: Bacteria
Description: partial 16S ribosomal RNA
Rfam family: Bacterial small subunit ribosomal RNA
Source: RNAcentral
CCUACGGGAGGCAGCAGUGAGGAAUAUUGGUCAAUGGCCGAGAGGCUGAACCAGCCAAGUCGCGUGAGGGAUGACGGCCCUACGGGUUGUAAACUUCUUUUAUCGGGGAGUAAAGCGAGUCACGUGUGACUUAUUGCGAGUACCCGAUGAAUAAGCAUCGGCUAACUCCGUGCCAGCAGCCGCGGUAAUACGGAGGAUGCGAGCGUUAUCCGGAUUUAUUGGGUUUAAAGGGUGCGUAGGCGGAGGUGUAAGUCAGCGGUCAAAUUGCGGGGCUCAACCCCGUACUGCCGUUGAAACUGCAUCCCUUGAGUGCGCGGGACGUAUGCGGAAUGCGUGGUGUAGCGGUGAAAUGCUUAGAUAUCACGAAGAACUCCGAUUGCGAAGGCAGCAUACCGGCGCGCAACUGACGCUCAUGCACGAAAGCGUGGGUAUCGAACAGGAUUAGAUACCCCGGUAGUC